UUGUCCUACGGGAGGCAGCAGUCGGGAAUAUUGCACAAUGGAGGAAACUCUGAUGCAGUGACACCGCGUAUAGGAAGAAGGUUAUCGGAUUGUAAACCAUUUUAGACAGGGAAGAAAAAAGACAGUACCUGUAGAAUAAGCUCCGGCUAACUACGUGCCAGCAGCCGCGGUAAUACGUAGGGAGCAAGCGUUAUCCGGAAUUAUUGGGUGUAAAGGGUGCGUAGACGGGACAGCAAGUUAGUUGUGAAAGCCCUCGGCUUAACUGAGGAACUGCAACUAAAACUAUUGUUCUUGCGUGCAGGAGG
Molecule: ribosomal RNA, 305 nt
Filed under: uncultured bacterium
Lineage: Bacteria
Description: bacterial SSU rRNA
Rfam family: Bacterial small subunit ribosomal RNA
Source: RNAcentral